ACUCCUACGGGAGGCAGCAGUGGGGAAUAUUGGACAAUGGGCGCAAGCCUGAUCCAGCCAUGCCGCGUGAGUGAUGAAGGCCCUAGGGUUGUAAAGCUCUUUCACCGGUGAAGAUAAUGACGGUAACCGGAGAAGAAGCCCCGGCUAACUUCGUGCCAGCAGCCGCGGUAAUACGAAGGGGGCUAGCGUUGUUCGGAUUUACUGGGCGUAAAGCGCACGUAGGCGGACUAUUAAGUCAGGGGUGAAAUCCCGGGGCUCAACCCCGGAACUGCCUUUGAUACUGGUAGUCUUGAGUUCGAGAGAGGUGAGUGGAAUUCCGAGUGUAGAGGUGAAAUUCGUAGAUAUUCGGAGGAACACCAGUGGCGAAGGCGGCUCACUGGCUCGAUACUGACGCUGAGGUGCGAAAGCGUGGGGAGCAAACAGGAUUAGAACCCCUGUAGUCCCAUGA
Molecule: ribosomal RNA, 448 nt
Filed under: uncultured organism
Description: partial 16S ribosomal RNA
Rfam family: Bacterial small subunit ribosomal RNA
Source: RNAcentral